Molecule: ribosomal RNA, 253 nt
Filed under: uncultured Eubacteriales bacterium
Lineage: Bacteria; Bacillati; Bacillota; Clostridia; Eubacteriales
Description: uncultured Clostridiales bacterium partial 16S ribosomal RNA
Rfam family: Bacterial small subunit ribosomal RNA
Source: RNAcentral
UACGUAGGGGGCAAGCGUUAUCCGGAUUUACUGGGUGUAAAGGGAGCGUAGACGGCGAUGCAAGCCAGAUGUGAAAACCCGGGGCCCAACCCCGGGAGUGCAUUUGAAACUGCCAUGCUGGAGUGCCGGAGAGGUAAGCGGAAUUCCUAGUGUAGCGGUGAAAUGCGUAGAUAUAUGGAAGAACACCAGUGGCGAAGGCGGCCGCCUGGCCUGUUGCUGACGCUGAGGCACGAAAGCGUGGGGAGCAAAUAGG